GAUGAACGCUGGCGGCGUGCCUAAUACAUGCAAGUCGAGCGAACAGACGAGGAGCUUGCUCCUCUGACGUUAGCGGCGGACGGGUGAGUAACACGUGGAUAACCUACCUAUAAGACUGGGAUAACUUCGGGAAACCGGAGCUACUACCGGAUAAUAUAUUGAACCGCAUGGUUCAAUAGUGAAAGACGGUUUUGCUGUCACUUAUAGAUGGAUCCGCGCCGCAUUAGCUAGUUGGUAAGGUAACGGCUUACCAAGGCAACGAUGCGUAGCCGACCUGAGCGGGUGAUCGGCCACACUGGAAGUGAGACACGGCCGAGACUCCUACGGGAGGCAGCAGUCGGGAAUCUUCCGCAAGGGGCGAAAGCCGGACGGUGCAAAGUCGCGUGAGGGAUGAUGGUGUUCGGCUCGUUGAGCUCUGAUAGUAGGAAGGUAGUAAUGUGUAAUUACCUAUGAACGUCUUGACAGUACCGAAUCAGAAAGCCACGGCUAACUACGUG
This 497-nucleotide ribosomal RNA is filed under the name uncultured bacterium. RNAcentral describes it as "partial 16S ribosomal RNA". It matches the Rfam family "Bacterial small subunit ribosomal RNA", at positions 28 to 507 of the family's 1533-position model. The record is from RNAcentral.